This 421-nucleotide ribosomal RNA is filed under the name uncultured bacterium. Its description in RNAcentral is "bacterial SSU rRNA". It matches the Rfam family "Bacterial small subunit ribosomal RNA", at positions 356 to 774 of the family's 1533-position model. The record is from RNAcentral.
GAGGAAUAUUGGUCAAUGGGUGCAAGCCUGAACCAGCCAUCCCGCGUGAAGGACGACUGCCCUAUGGGUUGUAAACUUCUUUUGUAUAGGGAUAAACCUACCCUCGUGAGGGUAGCUGAAGGUACUAUACGAAUAAGCACCGGCUAACUCCGUGCCAGCAGCCGCGGUAAUACGUAGGUGGCAAGCGUUGUCCGGAUUUACUGGGCGUAAAGGAUGCGUAGGCGGAUACUUAAGUCAGAUGUGAAAAUCCCGGGCUUAACUUGGGAACUGCAUUUGAAACUGGGUAUCUAGAGUGCGGGAGAGGAAAGUGGAAUUCCUAGUGUAGCGGUGAAAUGCGUAGAGAUUAGGAAGAACACCAGUGGCGAAGGCGACUUUCUGGACCGUAACUGACGCUGAGGCAUGAAAGCGUGGGGAGCAAACA